This is a microRNA precursor of Equus asinus (donkey), 145 nucleotides long. The record is from Ensembl. Lineage: Eukaryota; Metazoa; Chordata; Mammalia; Perissodactyla; Equidae.
GGAGGAGGGGCCUGAGCUUCCUCUUUGCCCUCAUGAGCUCUGAGCCUGGCAGUGGGGGAUGGUCCAAACAAGUCCGUGCAUGAGUGAAUGAGUCCCCACACGGAGGCUGUGCAGCAUGAUGGUUAGACGUGCAGGUUCUGGCCUC